UUUAAUUUAUAAAUCUUUUUCAACAUAUCCCACUCACCUUUAUUUUGAAUCACACUCUAGAAAUGAUGGGAAUUGCCAAAGAUAAUACUGAUGACUGACUAGAUCUUUUACUGAAUCCUUAAAAUAUAUCUUCUCAAAAAGAAACGGAGUAAAUCCGUGCAGUGUUAAUGCAUUUCAGUUGGUAGAUGAACGGAUCCUUAUUCAGGCAGCUGCAGAAAAGCGUAUAUGGGCCAGCUUAUAUUUUCAGAACCAGAUUCUGUUCUCUUGUGCAAAUUUCUUGCAGUGUAACCUGUUGGGGUAAAUCCUAACCUAGAGAUUGCGAUACCAAGUUAUUUCUCCACAACUCAACUCAAAUACUUAGCUCCGCAAUGUCCUGAGCUCGAUAUUUGUAUUCCUCGUUAUCUCGAACAAUAAAUCGG
This is a non-coding RNA of Pelobates cultripes (western spadefoot toad), 419 nucleotides long. Lineage: Eukaryota; Metazoa; Chordata; Amphibia; Anura; Pelobatidae. The record is from the annotation of a GenBank genome assembly.